AAGACAGUCCAUUUCAGCCCAGGAAUCUGCAGUGGUGACAAGGACAUGGGACUCCUCCCGCCAGAUUACUGUUGGUUCAAUACAAUUGACAUCCUGGCUGACAACUGUGAAAAGGAACCUUGGGUUAUUUUAUUUUAUUUUUGUGGAACACCACAAUCUCAGAUCCGUAGGACACAUCAGGCUUCAAGUUCCCUGUAGAAUUCUAAAAUAACCUUUGCUAAUGAGGAUGUCUGAUAUUGUUAUUAUAAAAGAUGAAACUGAAACAAUGAAGGAUUUGGAGGCAGAAAUGAGAGAUACAACCAGAGUUGAAAAUCUUAUCAAAUCAGAAAACUAUGGGAAGAUUUCGGCAGAGAAGAAUGAACAUUGUAUUGACAACAAUAUUGAUUUGCAGGAGAAAAUUCAGAUACAGUUAACACAAUCAUUUGAAAAAGAGGAAAAGCCCUCAAAAGAUGAAACAGAUAAA
RNAcentral lists this long non-coding RNA (463 nucleotides) under Rattus norvegicus (Norway rat). RNAcentral's name for it is "long non-coding RNA NONRATT008174". Lineage: Eukaryota; Metazoa; Chordata; Mammalia; Rodentia; Muridae. The record is from RNAcentral.